RNAcentral lists this ribosomal RNA (270 nucleotides) under uncultured microorganism. RNAcentral describes it as "partial 16S ribosomal RNA". It matches the Rfam family "Bacterial small subunit ribosomal RNA", at positions 9 to 282 of the family's 1533-position model. The record is from RNAcentral.
GAGUUUGAUCUUGGCUCAGAUUGAACGCUGGCGGCAGGCUUAACACAUGCAAGUCGAGCGGAGAUGAGGUGCUUGCACCUUAUCUUAGCGGCGGACGGGUGAGUAAUGCUUAGGAAUCUGCCUAUUAGUGGGGGCAACAUUCCGAAAGGGAUGCUAAUACCGCAUACGUCCUACGGGAGAAAGCAGGGGAUCUUCGGACCUUGCGCUAAUAGAUGAGCCUAAGUCGGAUUAGCUAGUUGGUGGGGUAAAGGCCUACCAAGGCGACGAUCU